GAGGGUAUAGCUCAAGUGGUAGAGCACAUGCUUAGCAUGCAGGAGGUCCUGGGCUCAAUCCCCACUACCUCCA
This 73-nucleotide transfer RNA is filed under the name Camelus bactrianus (Bactrian camel). It matches the Rfam family "tRNA". From Rfam's summary of the family: Transfer RNA (tRNA) molecules are approximately 80 nucleotides in length. The record is from Rfam by way of RNAcentral. Lineage: Eukaryota; Metazoa; Chordata; Mammalia; Artiodactyla; Camelidae. RNAcentral also lists the same sequence under 2 other names.